AACGGCCAUACCAUGUUGAAUAUACCGGUUCUCGUUAGAUCACCGAAGUCAAGCAUCAUUGGGCGCGGUCAGUACUUGGGUGGGUGGGUGACCACAUGGGAACACUGCGUGCCGUU
RNAcentral lists this ribosomal RNA (116 nucleotides) under Caerostris darwini. The record is from RNAcentral. Lineage: Eukaryota; Metazoa; Arthropoda; Arachnida; Araneae; Araneidae.